Molecule: long non-coding RNA, 298 nt
Organism: Synchiropus splendidus (mandarinfish)
Lineage: Eukaryota; Metazoa; Chordata; Actinopteri; Syngnathiformes; Callionymidae
Exons: 4
Source: RefSeq, a predicted model, not a curated record
AAAGGCCGCCACCCACCAUGAGCGAUGGAGCUACAGUUGGCAGGUCACCCAUGAUCCAUAAAACAUUGGAUGACAGGAGACCCAGGACCCAUGAAACAUUGGAUGACAGGAGCAUUUUUUGUUUCUCUCCUGCGAUGAUGUCGUCACCCAUCCUCAUCCUCCUGUCAGCAGUGCUGCUCUGGAUCGCCUGAGUGGAACCACCAGCUCAUGCUCUCCCAAAUAAAUGUGGAUUUUCUGGCGCGGGAUUGAAUGACAGGGUUUAGACAUUUGUCUUUGUCGUGAUUUAUUUUGGUGAUGG